Molecule: ribosomal RNA, 253 nt
Filed under: uncultured bacterium
Lineage: Bacteria
Description: partial 16S ribosomal RNA
Rfam family: Bacterial small subunit ribosomal RNA
Source: RNAcentral
UACGAAGGGGGCUAGCGUUGCUCGGAAUCACUGGGCGUAAAGCGCACGUAGGCGGACUCUUAAGUCGGUGGUGAAAUCCUGGAGCUCAACUCCAGAACUGCCUUCGAUACUGGGAGUCUCGAGUUCGGGAGAGGUGAGUGGAACUGCGAGUGUAGAGGUGAAAUUCGUAGAUAUUGGGAAGAACACCAGUGGCGAAGGCGGCUCACUGGCCCGUAACUGACGCUGAGGUGCGAAAGCGUGGGGAGCAAACAGG